RNAcentral lists this long non-coding RNA (996 nucleotides) under Equus caballus (horse). RNAcentral's name for it is "lncRNA (ENSECAG00000051298.1)". The record is from RNAcentral. Lineage: Eukaryota; Metazoa; Chordata; Mammalia; Perissodactyla; Equidae.
ACUGCUAUAAAGAUUGCUAUAAGGUAAUAUGUCUAUGUGUAUUAGUCAGGGUAAUCUCAGUGGCUUAACACAAGACAAGGUGUUCACUUGGCAUCCUCCUACAUGGUUAUUCAGAAUUCUGGUUCCUUUAUCUCAUUGCACCGCUGUUCACUGGCUGCUCUGCAUUUAACCAGCAAAAAUGUUGAGAGUGAGGAAAAUCCUGCAGUACGUCUUGUGGGCAGGCUUGGAAACGGAAUUCAACACUUCCAUAAACAUUUCACUGGCCAGAACCUGAUCCCCCCGGUUCCAAUCUACAUGCAAGGGAAGCUGCUAACACAGUCCUGUUUGCCUGCAAGAGGAAAGGAGAUUGAAAAGAAAUUCAUGCUAAUGGUAUCCAAUGAAACAAGCUAAGAUGCAUGAAGAAAGAGUUUACGAUUUCCCUUUCUCCUUCCAGCCCCCACCCAGGUAUAUAUCCCACAGUGAUAUAACUGAUCUAAUAAAAUCCUAUGCUGUGGAGGCAAGUGAUAAAAUUAUUGCUGAAGAGUUCCCACUAGACUUGAAAAGGCAAUUAACCAGAUAUCACAGUUUGAUAGGCCCAGAUUAUAGACAGCCCUGAGCGUCAGGCUGUGCAUUCGAUUCUCCAGGUAGUGGACACUCAACAGCUGAGUGACCUGGUCAAAGCGUCACUUUAGAGAGAGACUGGCAAAAUGGAUGGCAGAGAUUGAAGUGUGAAUUUAAGGUAGUGAGCCAUUUAGAAGCUGCUUGGGAGUGAUCUUUUUUGGAUUUCAGAAAAUGAAGGAGACAGAGGGAGAGCUUCAGAAAUGUUGCACCAAAGUCAAUCCAGAACCUUGCCUUCCUUUGUAGUUGUUUCAUCACAUUUAAAUGCAGCAAGAAUGUCACCAUCAACUUUUCACAGGUUAACUUCAUCUCACAACUUCUAGCCCAAAUUUCAAGUUUGGUCCCAACCUUGCGUGAAUAUCUAAGAACAAGCUGAUUGAAUUAAAAAAGAAAAAAAAU